AGAGUUUGAUCCUGGCUCAGAACGAACGCUGGCGGCGUGGAUAAGACAUGCAAGUCGAGCGGGAUUUUUUCCUGUAGCAAUACAGGGAAUAGUCUAGCGGCGAACGGGUGCUUAACACGUGGGCAACCUGCCAAGAAGUGGGGGAUAGCUCGCCGAAAGGCGAAUUAAUACCGCAUGUGAUCAGAGUGGACAUCCAUUCAAAAUCAAAGUCGGGGCAACCUGACGCUUCUGGAGGGGCCCGCGGCCUAUCAGCUAGUUGGUGGGGUAACGGCCCACCAAGGCUUAGACGGGUAGCUGGUCUGAGAGGACGACCAGCCACACUGGGACUGAGACACGGCCCAGACACCUACGGGUGGCAGCAGUCGAGAAUUUUUCUCAAUGGGGGAAACCCUGAAGGAGCGACGCCGCGUGGAGGAUGAAGGUCUUCGGAUUGUAAACUCCUGUCAUUGGGGAACAAUGCGCAAAUAUUAACUGUAUUUGCGUUGAUAGUACCCGAAGAGGAAGAGACGGCUAACUCUGUGCCAGCAGCCGCGGUAAUACAGAGGUCUCAAGCGUUGUUCGGAUUCAUUGGGCGUAAAGGGUGCGUAGGCGGCGCGGUAAGUCGGGUGUGAAAUCUCGGAGCUUAACUCCGAAACUGCAUUCGAUACUGCCGUGCUUGAGGACUGGAGAGGAGACUGGAAUUUACGGUGUAGCGGUGAAAUGCGUAGAUAUCGUAAGGAAGACCAGUGGCGAAGGCGGGUCUCUGGACAGUUCCUGACGCUGAGGCACGAAGGCCAGGGGAGCAAACGGGAUUAGAUACCCCAGUAGUCC
This 810-nucleotide ribosomal RNA is filed under the name uncultured bacterium. RNAcentral describes it as "bacterial SSU rRNA". It matches the Rfam family "Bacterial small subunit ribosomal RNA", at positions 8 to 796 of the family's 1533-position model. The record is from RNAcentral.